Molecule: small nuclear RNA, 103 nt
Filed under: Meriones unguiculatus (Mongolian gerbil)
Lineage: Eukaryota; Metazoa; Chordata; Mammalia; Rodentia; Muridae
Source: RNAcentral
ACCAGACAUGCUCUUCUCUGGGUCCUACUAAAAUUGGAACGAUACAGAGAAGAUUAGCAUGGCCCCUGCGCAAGGAUGACACACAAAUCCUUAGCUUAUUCUU